Molecule: long non-coding RNA, 6918 nt
Filed under: Sus scrofa (pig)
Lineage: Eukaryota; Metazoa; Chordata; Mammalia; Artiodactyla; Suidae
Description: lncRNA (ENSSSCG00065072481.1)
Source: RNAcentral
GUGCCGUCAGCGGGCUGUGGGCGGCCGCUGCCCCUGGCCGGCGGAGACCAGGGUCAGAAACAGCCACCUGGUGCCCGGGGUCCUGCAGCUGGUGGCCCGGGGGCGGCCUGAGGAGCUGAGCACAGGCUUGUCUGCUGAGCUGGGUCUUGGCAAGGUUGGAUCAGAGUCGUCUGUCGCCUUUCAGUUUCUUGGGGACUUCUCUGGCCUUUUGGGAUCGGAGAGAGCAGAACUGGAGUCUGGGAGGCCUGAAGGCUGAAGGCACGGGUCAGGGGACCGGCUGGAGCUCCGGGAGCUGGCCUGUGACGGGACUGAUGGCACUGCCGCUCCCCUGGUCUCCCUUGACCCCACCUUCAGGAGGGCUCCCAGCCAGGGUGUCCCGAGGGUCUGGUCAGGAUGCGGGGAUGUCGCCAGCAAGCAGGAUUCCAGAUCCAGGGGGCCUCAAGUGGGCCCCCACCCCGGGCUGUCACCCCCUCAGGCAGACACCAUGAGUGUCCAGCCCAGGGUGUCGCUAUAGCUGUGACCCGGCCACUCUGAGGUCACCACCCAGGGGCCGCCUCUCCAUCAACAAAUGGAACGAGCGACUUGGCCAGGGGCCCCAACCCGAAAUUUCUAGGGGAGACCCAGACCCAGGCCUUUUAGCACCAGGUCCUGGCCUGGGCGUGUGGUCCCAGAAGAGCACGGACCCCGUCCCCCGCCUGCAGUGACCCCUCCUCGAUCCCCAAGCCCCAUCUGAGGGGGUUUCCGAAAGAUGACAGAUGGCAAAGUGACGCUGGGGGAGCUGGUAUUGCGGUCGCUUGGGGUGUGAUCCCCAACCCUGGAGGGCAUGUGGGUUGCAGCUGAACUGGCAGAUGGAGGCAGGGUGGGGGCCUGGGUGGGGUGUGCCAGGCUUAAGGGUGCGUGUCGUGGGCGGAACUCGGACCCACCUGGGCCCCAAUCCCACCAGGGCCCCCAGCUGGGCGGAGUCAGCGCAGCUGCUCACUGAGGCUUGACGGCCCUUCUGUGAAAUGGGCUCAGUCACACGGGCUCAGGGCUCCGUGUGGACAUAGCCCUGCUGGGCAGAGUCACCCACGUCUGCUGCCUGAGGGCCCUUCGUCCCCUCGCAAAACAACCACCUCACAGCAGAGAACAUCAAGGCGUGGGGACCCCGGGGUCCCCCACAGUCCGGGGCUGCCCUGACAACCCUGGAGUGGGCGGGGCUGCCCCCAGGGGCUCCUGGGGAAGGUCCUUGGGCUCCUGGCGGCUGCGGGUAUCCCGGGGUUGUGUGUCUCAUCCCUCCUCCAGGCCAGCAGGCCCCCAGCCCCGGUCAUCCACAAAGACCCUAUUUCCAAAUUAGGUCACUUCUGAGGUUCCUGGUGGACAGGAAUCUGAGGGUAACCUGGCACGUGUCACCUCAGGACAGUGGGCCACCACGACCCUCAAGACGUGCUGCUUGGCCAGGUGGCCGAGGUCUGCAUUCAGGACGGCUCCAGAGACAGCUCUGGCCAGACCGCCCCCACCCCUCCUCCCUCCCCAGCCAUCAUUUAUUAAACGCCAGCUGUAAGCCGGAGCCCGCCCUCCCCGCCCCCCCACCUCCUGGAGGGGUGUCUUCACUCUCCUUCCCCGGGGGGUAACCCGGGGCCUGGGAGGCCUUCCGCCCACUGCCCUCUGGUCUCCGUGUUCUGGUGUGAACGCCUGUGCCCUGGGGCUGGGUGCUGGCUGGGCUCCGGGCCUGUGGCUGAUCCACGAGGCAGCGCUUCGGUGAGCAGAGCAGAGGAAAAAGGCCGGAGAGGAGCAGCGUCUCUGGGUCUCCGCCGGGCUGCCCCCGGGCACUCGGACACCCGCUGGCCUGCCGUCUGGGCGCCGAUCUGCAGCCAGGAUGGGGAGCCUGCAGGCUGCCCCACUGAGCAAGACCAUUUCAGGACCCAGCAGAGAGGGACACUCUGGAGGACACAGAGCCCCCUGCGUCCUGCAGGCUAGCUGUGACUAGAAACCCCAGGGUUUACUGCUGUCACCGGCAGCCCUGCCUGGUGAGCAAGCCCCUUGCUGAGCAGGUGGGAAGUCCCCUGAGGCCUGAAGCCUUCCCUUUUCUCAGGAAACUGUCUCCGAGCUGUUGCGGGCAGGCCCGUGGGCCUGGGACGCAUGUGCCAAGGGGCCAGUCCUGACUCAGAGGCCGGGGGGCGGGGGAGGCAGCCGCUCUGGCUGCAGCGAGGGGAGGGUGAGGCCUGGGAUGGGGGCCAGAGACCCCACAAACGGGACCCGGGCCGGACCAUGGAUGCAAGCAUACUGAUGUGCCUCGGAAGAGCGGCACUAGGGGAUAGUGGCCUGGCCUCGAGGCCCGUGCUUCCUGGUCCCAGCGCCCAUCCUGGCCAGGCCCCGGUGCCCUGAUGACAGGUGCAGGGAGCGCUGCUUCCAGAAUAAGGAGGGGAAGGAAAGAGACCCCGGUGUGGCUGGGGGCUGGGAGGGCUGGACAGAUGGAGCUGCAUCCUGAGACGUGCCAGGGGGUCUUGGAGCGUGACAAGGGCGGGGACAGCCCCUGGGGACGAGGGAACAGGAAGUACGAGGCCCCGGGGCUUGAAACAACCCUGGACAUUUAACCCGCCGGUCCUCACUGCUCCUCCCUCUGCAAAACGAGCCUUCUCCAGCCUGCUCCCUCCUCCCUGGGGCGGGGGUUGCCUAGAAGGGCGCCAGGGGCCCCGGGGGGCCUUGGGGUCAGGGGCUUCCAUGCCCCACCCACCCCCAGGACCUGGCCCUCGCCCUCAGGGGUGGUUGGGGGACGGGGAGCGGGUCACACCUGAGCAGUGGGCAUGGAUGGGGCUCCCCGAGGCCACUUCACCGCUUCGGGCUGCCGCCUCCACAAGCCUUGCGGGCCCCUGGCUGCACAGGCCGUGUCGGUGCCCGGGGAGGAGCAGACAGGCCGCGUCAGCCCGUUUUCUCCGUGUCACGGGGCUGAUAGGGAUGGAGGCCGGCAAAGGGGGACCGGGUGGUUCCUGCCAGAAACCUGGCCUUUCUGACUUUGGCGUUAAAUCCAUCACACAAGGAACGCUGGUUCCGGAGAAAACGGGCCCAAGCGAGCUUGGGACGCAGGCCUUCACCACCCCUGCCCGGGGUCUCUCACGUUCGGAUGGGAGGAAUGGAGGGUCCGAGGGGCAGGGGCCCUGGCGAAGCCCCUGUGGACCGAGGGUCCCAAGGUUGCCGGGAGGUGAGUCAGCUCCCUGAGCACUGUCUGAGCUGGUACCACACGCGUGACCUCUGGGGCCACCCGCCGGGCUCAUGCGCAGAGGCUUUGGGGAUGAAAGGGUGGAGUGAGUGGCUGGGCUGGGAGCAUCAGGUGCAGGGCUCGGACCUCUGAGCACGGGGAGCCGGGUGGGUCACAGGCCAAGCCCCCAGCCCCGUGCCGAGCGCCCGCCCAGCAACACAGGAGGAGCGAUGGGGGGCAGAAAGGGAGGGCUGGGCCUCCUCCCCCACGAUGGAGAGGUUCGGAGUCUGGGGUCUGGGCCUCGUCCUCUCUCUGCGCUGCCCAGCUGUGUGCCUUUCAGAGGUGCCCACGCUUCUCCAGUGCUGAUCCCUGGGGAUGGUCGCAGGCCUCAGGCUGCCCCUCGGCUCUGCCCUGGACGUGCUGUCGUUGUGUGGAGGGCUGCCCCCUCCCCAUUCUCUCCACGUGCCUCCCUGUCACUCAGGGUUCCUGCCUCCCCCCGGGGGCCUUCCUGGCUGUCCGGCUCCCUUUCCUCCCCGCCCGGGGCUUAGGGGACCCUCCCUUCCCUUCCCAGGACUGGCCACGCGGAACCCACACUGCCCCGCUUGUAUCCAGACCCUCAGUCCCAGCAGGCCUGCCGCCCUGGGCAGAGCGGGCCACCAGGUGGGGAGGCGUCCGCAGAGUUUGUGGAAACAAACAAAGACUUUAGAGUGUGGGGCCCACCCCCACCCCCAUCCUGUGGGCAGAGGUGAUGAGGAAGGUGUAGGGGCCCAGCCCCCAGUGGAGCCAGCUCAAGGUCGAGCCCAGCACCCCGGGGACAGUGUCCCUCAAGGGGUGAGGGCCCAGGCGGCACCCCUGCCCCUGCCCACCCUGGCUCCCCCAUCUGGGUGAGACAUUCCUCACCCCACACUGAAUGCCUUUGAGGGAGGCUUGGAAGCUCGGGGCGGCACUGGGAAGCCUCACCUGGGAGGAAGCUCCCGGAGGCAGGAGCAUGGCCAUCAGGAGCUGGCGGUUGGGGUGCGAGCUUCUGUGUCUGUUUGCCUUUUAUUUUUUAUUUUUAUCAUCAUUAUUAUUUUUGUCUCUUUAGGGCUGUACUCUCAGCAUAUGGAGGUUUCCAGGCUAGGGGUCUAAUCGGAGCUGUAGCCGCCGGCCUACACCACAGCCACAGCCACACCAAAUCUGAGUAGUGUCUGCGACCCACACCACAGCUCAUGACAACGCCAGAUGCUUAACCCACUGAGCAAGGCCAGGGAUGGAACCCACAUCCCUAGGGACACCAUGUCGGGUUCUGAGCCACAGCGGGAGCUCCCUCUUUGCCUUUUACAAUAAAGACCUUGGGCUUCCUCCUUCCUCCCUCCCUCCAUCCUUUCUUCCUCCUUCUUUUGUUUUUUGUCUUUCUCUCUUUUUAGGGCUGAACCCACGGCAUACGGAGGUUCCCAGGCUAGGGGACAAAUCAGAGCUACAGCUACCAGCCUACGCCAGAGCCACAGCAACGCCGGAUCUGAGCCACAUCUGCGACCUACACCACAGCUCACGGCAAUGCUGUAUCCUUAACCCACUGAGCAAGGCCGGGGAUCGAACCUGCAACCUCACGGAUCCUAGUCGGGUUCUUUAACCACUGAGCCACAACAGGAACUUCACCUUCCUUCUUUCUCUGUUUCUUCUCUCGCUUUGCUUCUUCCGGGCAGCUGGAAGUUAUUUUGGUUUAAGAAGUGAGAAUUGACAACUAGAGGAAGUCAAAAGAGAAGAAUAAGAAUUGCUGGAGGCCCAGGCUCUUCCCUCGAGAACCCUUUGAUGAGCUCCGUGGCACCAGCAUGUACGCAGGGUCUGAAUGCCGGCUGUGAGGUCAGACUCGGGGGUGCUGGUGACUUUCUGGCAGAGCAUCGUUUCAAGAACAAUCCUGAAACUCAGGGAAAUGUAAAGGUCCCGUCUCAUAAACUUCUACAGCGGUGGAGUCGAGUGUAACAUUGGAAUGUGAAAAAAGUGCUUUAAAAACAGUUUUUUUCUAGUUUGGGGGAAAUUGUUUCUUUCUGCAAAGAAAUAUUUUAUUAAGUCGAAUCAUUAUAAAAGCUCUAUGGCCAUGAGUCGCCAUGGCAUUAAAACCAUAUCUGAGAGGCAAGCUGUAAGGUGUCUGUGCAAAGCUCACGGGCUGACUGCUGAUUUACUAUUUCAUUCUUAGGCGGAGGAUUCUGCACACUCAUGUUUAUAGUCAUUUAAUUCAGACCAUGGAUUAUUCUCACGUGCAAGCUAGGGAAUUCAUGUGGUUUGUAAUGGCCCCAAUGCCAAAGGUGUUGGAAAUGGAAAUAAAUUAGAAUUGUUUAUGGUUUUGGAGUCGUUAAAAAAAAAAUAAGGACUGUGGGCAUGUAUGGGGUGUGUGUGUGUGGGGGGGUCCCCCGGUUUCCUCAUCUGUAAAAUGGGGGGCUUGCUCUCCCCGCCAGCUGCAGUGAACUGCUUCUCUGAGGCACCUGGUACCUGCAGGUGGUGGCAGAUGCUCGUGUCUGAGGCCCUCUGGGGGCCUGUGGAGAUGCGCCACCAUCCUGGGACCGUCCUGGGUCCGUCUCUGGUUCUCAGGCCGGGAGCCUGGAAGGAGGAUCUGACUCUGCCGCUGGCCCCCUGCGCCCAGUGCCGCUGGAAAAGUGGGGGGCUCGAGGCCAGCCCUGCUUUUCAGUGUGCAGUUUUGUCCCCAGGAAGUGGGCUCAGAGGGGGCUCUGCUGUCUCCCCGUGUGAGCUGCUUGGUGCAGAGGCAAACGUGCUGGCCGCCUCUGGGUUUGGGGUUGAAACCUCGCAGCUCAGCCUCAGGGAACAGUGAGACCUGAAGCGAGGGGCUGAUUUGCACGGGCUUCCGGGCCUCGAUCUUGCCCCCGCCUCUGCCAUGCCUCCUCCUCCCUGUCCCCCCAGGUGGAAGCUGAGAGGGACACGGUUGACACCAAUCUCGUGGCUGCAACGGGGGUCUGCCCAGGCUGUGCCCACUCUCCCUGUCCCCCGUGACCGAGGCGGACUCUGUCCCGUGUCCUUGCAUCGGUGACAAAGCCUUCACCCCAUGAGCACCGUCUGUCCCGUCACAAAGGCCCUCCCUCACCUCUGACCCCAGGAAGGAGGGGUGCACAAGGACCGGCUCCUGGGGGAAGGCCCGAGGGCGCCCCGGAUGUGGGGAGCAGUGGCCAGUUCCUCUUUGCCUGCCCACGGCCCCGGCUCCCGUCCCUCCCGGGCCGCCUGGGACCUGACCCAUUUCCUGUAAAACUGCACGGUGUUCCUUCCGGGGACACUGCUGAGGCUCAGGCCUCUUCCCGUCUGAAGGAGCAGCGGGAUCUCCUGGGACUCCCAGGCUGGAGCCCCAGCCCCACUGAGCCCCGGGAAGCAGAACGGGAUGGGCUUCUCAGGAGAUGCGCUCUCUGGGGGUGGGGGUGGGCCGACUCCAGCCCUUGCUGGGUGGGACACGUGGUGGGCUUAUCCCUAAACCACGGUCCCAGGGUCGUCCCGAAAGGACACUGCCCUGUGCCCUGUUCCCACACUGCCUUUAUGCGCCUGUGUUGCCCAGGGGUCUGUUGAUGAGCAGGAAUGGGCCCCCUGGAGUUCUCACUGUGGCUCAGCAGGAUCAGUGGCGUCUCUGCAGCGCCAGGACGCAGGUUCAUUCCCCAGCCCGGUGCAGUGGGUUCAGGGUCUGGCACUGCUGCCGCUGUGACAUAGGUCACAACUGUGGCUCUGAUCUGAUCCCUGGCCCGGGAACUCCAGACGCAGGGGAGCGG